RNAcentral lists this transfer RNA (72 nucleotides) under Alligator mississippiensis (American alligator). It matches the Rfam family "tRNA". From Rfam's summary of the family: Transfer RNA (tRNA) molecules are approximately 80 nucleotides in length. The record is from Rfam by way of RNAcentral. Lineage: Eukaryota; Metazoa; Chordata; Crocodylia; Alligatoridae.
GGGGAUGUAGCUCAGUGGCAGAGCGUAUGCUUUCCAUGUAUCAGGUCCUGGGUUCAAUCACCAGUGUCUCCG